CACUUUUUCCAAAAUCCAAAUUAAAAUAAGAGAGUAAAAAUAAGCACUUGUCCGGAAAAUUUUACUAAUUUGGAAGAAUUGGCUCCAACACGAUAUUUGAUAGUUGAUAAGUGUUUAUGAAAUUAAUAAUUUAUUUAUUCUAAAUUCUAGAAUUUUGUUAUACAUCUAAUACAGAUACGAAUCUAUAACAUUUGUUAAUACAUACUUGUUGUUAAUAAAAAAAAGUUACAAAUAUGGUAUUAUCUUUUAGUGUUUGUCACAAACGGGCCUGUAAUAAUUCCAAUUCAACAUUUCAGAAACUCAUUAUAAAAUUAUGGAUUCUCAAAUAAUCCAGAAAGAUUAUUGAAAUGGAAAGAAAUUUGGAUCCUUGAUACAGUUUUAAAAUGGAAUAUAUUGUGUUCUGUUCAUUUCGAAUAAAAUAGCAUCCAGAAAAAAUACAAAUGUCUAGGAAAUGAUUGUGUAAAAAGUAUUGAUCCAAUAAAUUCACAGUCUGUUACUGAUUCUAACAUGUUUUAAAAGUCAGAUAAUUUGUCAUCAAAUGCUAUUAUAUUGUCAAUGAUGCAAAAAAUAAAAAUAGUAUAACAUGUACCAUGAGGAUUGGCGAUUUGAGCCCAAAAAUUUUUCAAUGCUCUUAUUAAUGAUUAAUCGAAAUAUAACAAUAUUAAGUAAAAAAAUUGAUGUUAAUGUUCUUGAAAAGAAAAAUUGUUGUCUGACAAUGGACUAAUUGAGUAAGAAAAAUAUUUAUAUUAUGGUGAAAUAAAUAUUAGUAUUAUAUAAUAAUUAAUAAGUAAAUUAUAAUACAAAAUAUGAGGUAAUAGGAAAACAGCACAAGGAAAAAAAUCAAUAUACAUAUUUAUUUAAUUGUGUUUGUAUUUUUA
Molecule: long non-coding RNA, 878 nt
Organism: Metopolophium dirhodum (rose-grain aphid)
Lineage: Eukaryota; Metazoa; Arthropoda; Insecta; Hemiptera; Aphididae
Exons: 3
Source: RefSeq, a predicted model, not a curated record